AAGCAACUCAUUUCUUGGUUUUGC
RNAcentral lists this non-coding RNA (24 nucleotides) under Arabidopsis thaliana (thale cress). The record is from RNAcentral. Lineage: Eukaryota; Viridiplantae; Streptophyta; Magnoliopsida; Brassicales; Brassicaceae.